UGUAAAAAAAUACAUUUAUUUUUACUGUUAGAAACUGACAUGAAUGAAAAAAUAACCAAAUCAUAACAAGUGGUAUGCCAUGCGUACCUCAUGUUAGUGUAUAGUGACUAGUUUUUAAUAGUAAAAAUGGAUGAAAUUUUUAAUU
Gossypium hirsutum (cotton) is the source of this 145-nucleotide non-coding RNA. The record is from Rfam. Lineage: Eukaryota; Viridiplantae; Streptophyta; Magnoliopsida; Malvales; Malvaceae.